UGAGCAAUCUGCCCUUCUCAUCGAAAUAAGCGUUGGAAACGACGUCUAAUGCCGAAUACGACCUCCUUUCACAUGAUCGGAGGUGGAAAGCUCCGGCGGAGAAGGAUGAGCUCGCGGCCUAUCAGCUAGUUGGUGUGGGUAAUGGCCCACCAAGGCGACGACGGGUAGCCGGCCUGAGAGGGUGACCGGCCACACUGGGACUGAGACACGGCCCAGACUCCUACGGGAGCAG
Molecule: ribosomal RNA, 232 nt
Filed under: uncultured bacterium
Lineage: Bacteria
Description: partial 16S ribosomal RNA
Rfam family: Bacterial small subunit ribosomal RNA
Source: RNAcentral